Molecule: long non-coding RNA, 951 nt
Organism: Phyllostomus discolor (pale spear-nosed bat)
Lineage: Eukaryota; Metazoa; Chordata; Mammalia; Chiroptera; Phyllostomidae
Exons: 3
Source: RefSeq, a predicted model, not a curated record
AAGAGAAUAUUUGUACAAGAAUCUAUGAGCUUUUGAAAUAAGGGUGUAAACUUUCUAUAUUUAUAAAUGCUUGCAUUUAUUAGAAAGCUAAGCUGCUUUAACAAAGAAAUCCCAACAUAUGUGGCUUAAACAAGAUAAAAGUUUAUUUUUUAAUAAGUAACAUUCUACCAGUAGGCAAGUUAUUCCAAGUUAGGUAAAUGUGUCUGCUCCAUAAAGUAAUUCAGAAAUCCAGGCUCCUUUUGUCUUCUUUUUGAACCACUUUUAAGAUGUUGUCCUUUUGCUUAAACUGGCUCACCACAUCCACAUCUGCCUUCCAGCCCAUAGGAAGGGGAAACAAGAAAGUGAAAUAAGCCAGUCAGAGAAAGACAAGUAUCACAUGAUUUCACUCAUAGUGGAAUGGAAUGAAUGAAAUGAAUUAAUAAGCAAAAUAGAAGUACAUUCACAGAUAGCAGACUGACAACUGUUUGGGAGGGAUUGAGAGACAAACUAAAAAAAGAAAGAAAGAAAGUAGAGGGCAAUUACCUUUCUUUUAAGGAAGUGAUCUGUAAGCUGCACGUAUCACCUGUACUCAUAUCCCAUUGGUCCAUUAUUGAUAUGGCCUUACCCACCUGCAAAAGACUGGGAAAUGUAGUCAGUCUCUGCCUCCGUGGCCGUGCACUCAGCUUAAAGUUUAGGAUAUUCUUAUUAGUAAAAUGAAGUACAGGAGACUGUAAAUUUGUCAAGAUUAAAAGAAUUAGUCAUGGAAUAUAUUCUUGGAGAAAAAAAGUUUUGUGAUGUAAGGGAGUCCAACAUUACUCUGAAAUAUUUUGGAUUCACAUUGUUUGAUCCAGGUAGGGCAACUGACAAGAACGUGGCUCAUGCGCUACUAAGUCCUAUUUCAACACCUAUAUGAACCAGUUAACUUCAAGAUUAUGCCUCACAGGCAGGAACAGCACUUUUUAUCCUGACUCA